UUCACUUCCUAACACCCUAAACACUUUUUUAAAAGUUAAAUGUAUGGACCACAAAGGCCUUUUUAUUAAAUCAAAUAAUAAUAAUAAUAAUAGAUAGUGCCACAAGACCAUCCCACUAAAAUAAACAAAAAUCCUUUCAGUACAGAAGAAAAGAAAGAAAGAAAUGAUACAAAGAAGCUUCAGGAAACGUCUUCCAUGGCCACCCAAGCUUCAUUGUCAUGUCGGACGAAGGCAUGGACUGCCUUAGAGCAAGAUCCGUUCUUCUAAGGCUGAAACCAACUGAGUUUGGAUCGUUUCCACACAAGACACUCAAAAGCUCUCACGAAUUUCAUGGAAUCAAAUCCACUAAAUACUUCUUCAACUCAGCUCGAACAGCUCAGAUGUUGAUGAAUUCAGGAACAACUGCCACUGUUUCAGCUUCUACACAAGAGUGACUAUCUUCCAAUGCCAUCUGUGAGUCCCCUCUGAAAGUCCAAGAGGGGGGCGGGGUGAAUUGCUUCUUUUUAUUUUUCUGAGUAAUAGUCAACUAAUACAGCUUAGUAGUCGACUGCAGUUGACAGAACUUAUAAUGAAAGUGCAGGAAGUAAAACUUGAAACAAGAUGUUUUAUAUUGUUUGGGAUCCAAUGUGGAUCUUACUCCAGUCCCCUUGAGUUACAAGGGUGUUGUCUUCUUAGCCCUUUGAUGUCUUGAAUGAGUACAGUGUUUUAUGAGAAUGUCCUAUGAAUACUCUCUAUCUUUUC
Long non-coding RNA from Solanum dulcamara, 741 nucleotides. RefSeq lists it as uncharacterized. The record is from RefSeq and is a predicted model, not a curated record. The transcript has 2 exons. Lineage: Eukaryota; Viridiplantae; Streptophyta; Magnoliopsida; Solanales; Solanaceae.